UGGGGAAUAUUGGACAAUGGGGGAAACCCUGAUCCAGCAAUGCCGCGUGAGUGAUGAAGGCCUUAGGGUUGUAAAGCUCUUUUACCAGGGAUGAUAAUGACAGUACCUGGAGAAUAAGCUCCGGCUAACUCCGUGGCAGCAGCCGCGGUAACACGGAGGGAGCUAGCGUUGUACGGAAUUACAGGGCGUAAAGCGCGCGUAGGGGGUUACUCAAGUCAGGGGUCAAAUCCCGGAGCUCAACUCCGGAACUGCCCUUGAAACUAGGUGACUAGAAUCUUGGAGAGGCGAGUGGAAUUCCGAGUGUAGAGGUGAAAUUCGUAGAUAUUCGGAAGAACACCAGUGGCGAAGGCGACUCGCUGGACAAGUAUUGACGCUGAGGUGCGAAAGCGUGGGGAGCAAACAGGAUUAGAUACCCCCGUAGUCC
RNAcentral lists this ribosomal RNA (424 nucleotides) under uncultured prokaryote. RNAcentral describes it as "bacterial SSU rRNA". It matches the Rfam family "Bacterial small subunit ribosomal RNA", at positions 355 to 796 of the family's 1533-position model. The record is from RNAcentral.